AUCUUUGCGCUUGGGGCAAUGACGCAGCUAAUGAGGUUCUAACCGAGGCGCGUCUAUUGCUGGUUGAAAACUAUUUCCAAACCCCCUCCUGGGCCCAAGCUUGUCUUGGGCCUUCGAGAAUUUCUGGAAGGGCUCCCUUCGGGGUAAAGCC
This 151-nucleotide small nuclear RNA is filed under the name Capsella rubella. RNAcentral describes it as "U4 spliceosomal RNA". It matches the Rfam family "U4 spliceosomal RNA". From Rfam's summary of the family: U4 small nuclear RNA (U4 snRNA) is a component of the major U2-dependent spliceosome. The structure of U4 snRNA from yeast and human has been reported. The record is from Rfam by way of RNAcentral. Lineage: Eukaryota; Viridiplantae; Streptophyta; Magnoliopsida; Brassicales; Brassicaceae.